GAAAUGCUUAUCUCCACUAUAAUCAUCUGGUUAAUAACAGUAAUACCAUUUAACAAGGAAUAAAAAAAAUGAACUAAACAAUGGCAACCAAAGAAAACGUUUACAGUAAGGUUUUUUUUUUUAAAACAUUUGAAAUAAAUCACAAUCUCAUAAUCCAGCUUUGGCACCAAAAAAAAGAACAAAUGACGGUAGCCGCAACACCGUGUAAAAAUUCCUGGAGUUAUUUAUGAUACAUGAGCCCGUUGAAACCAAAAUGAAACCAAUCAAACAACAAAUACAAUAAAUCUAAAACGUUACCAUAUUUACAAUGCUCUUGCUGGUAGAUUUUUGGGUUCCGAAACCGUAUCAACCGUCUUCUCAAUACCCAAUAACGACCAUGACAGUUCUCGUGGCGUAGUCGUAAUGGUUCAGUCGGAAGAUCCGUGACAGGUUGAAGCGAUAUGAAGAUGAAAAGGGUUUAGUUGUGCGGUGGUCGACGGCGUGGGUUACUUCGGUGGCGGAGUUCGAUCCACGGUGGAAGGAAAAAGAAGAGUGAGGUUGUUUAGAUCGCAGUCAGCUUGGUAGAUGGCGUUGAAGGGAAUUCGCGGCGGCCAUGGCGGUUAGCCGGAAGUUGUUGAAGGAUGUUAAGGGCGGAGAAUUCGAGACGUACGGUGGAGUGUGUAUGUUAUGGUGGUGUUUGUUGGAAGGUUUGAGUUUAUGAAGAAGAAGAGGAUUUGAAGGAAUUGAGUGGGUAAGGGUGUGACGGCAGUGCGUUUUUUCAAGGGGAAGAAGAAGGUGGAUUUCAGUGUUUUGUGUGUGUGACGUUUGGGAGCAGAAGAAGUAUUCCUCCCUUUUUGUUUUUUUCUGUCCCAUGAGUCCCCUUUUUCUUGAGACAGAGUGGUGAUCCCCACGUGAAGAAGAAAUCUCUUUGUUUCCCCUUUUUCCCCGUUAGCCAGCUGUUCCUCCAUUAAUAAAAUCCCAUUUUUGUUCUUAUCCCAUCUCUCCCAAUAACAUGAUGCCACGUUUCAUGUUGAGAGUAUGGAUAAAAAAUCUUCUCAAAUGCAAGCUGUCAAACGUGUAUCUUUCACAAGUAUACAACUUUAUUUUUAAUUUUUAAUUUUUAAUGUUAAUAUUAAUAUUAUUUGAUUUUUCAUGAUUAAUAUUAUUAUUAAUUGAUUUUUGAUUGGAUAAUGGAAUAUGAUAACGAUUGCAAAUGAGAUCCGUGGAUUAAUUUGUAUCAACGAUCCUGAUUAAUCCAAAGAAGCACAAGCAAUUUUAAAAUGUCCGAUAUGUCCCUUUUAUAUGAUUUUAAUUGAUUUAAAAUAAUUUAAAUCAUCAAAUCAAAUUAAAUUCGCAUCUUUCUAAAUACAUACGAUAAAAAUAAAAUGAGAAUACGAAAAAUUCUAUUUAUUUCUUUUGAACAUUUUGGCGAAAGAAUAAAAAUAAAAUGACUAAAAAUUAAUAAAAGUCGGACGAAAAUUUGUUUAAAAAAUUAAAUCGGACGCACUAAAAUGAUCAGCGCGAAAUAUACUUAUUGAAAAAAUACAUCAUUUCUUUUAAUUUUGAAAUAAAUUUUGACCGAUUGAAAGGCUUAGACGGAUCAAAAUGCGAUUGAAAAAGUCGUCGAAAAAUAUAACGAGCACACCAUGUUAAACUACGCAGACCAUAGAUUAAUAAUACUGGCGUAUGCAAGUUUAAUUUUGAAACUUUUUACACGCUGAUUUUGCACGUACUUGAGAAAUGAUUUAACCAAUUUGUCUAUAUUUUCAAUAAUUUAUUUCGACCGAUAUUUUAAGUAUUAUUCAUGAUGAAAUGCAUGUUAUGCUGUACAACUGAUGCAAAUUAAAAAUGAAAUCAAGUUUAUGAAAAAUUUAAAAUGUCUGGACAAAAUUGGGGUAUGACAGCUGCCCCUAUUUAGUUACCUUGAUCCGGAAAGUAAGAAUUACAGCAGUGUCCGUAAAUUCGUGGUGGAAGGUAAUUAAAUACGAAAAGACCCAAAUUUUGUCCUUUGAAAUGUGAUGGAGAAAUGUAGAAAGAAAAUGUAACGAAUCCUAACGACAUCCAGGGUAUUAGGGGUAGAAUAUCCGAUCAAUGCCAACCCUCGAGUCGACAUUUAAAUCUUGCAAAGGUCGUUAUUGAUAUGAGGACAAACCUGAGCAGGUUUUCUGGCACCAAAAGGAUGACAAUAGAAUUAAUUGCCAUCACCAAAAGGGUGAUAGUAAUUCACCAUGAUUUCCGGGAUCGUCAUCACCAAAAGGAUGAUGGAAUACCAAGCUUCAAAGGUAGUCAUCACCAAAAGGAUGAUGGUUAUCCUGAUAAAGCUUUCCAUUACCGAGGGGGUAAUAUUAAGACUAUCAUCAAAAGGACGAUAGUUAACUCAUCAACUUCAAAGAUCACCGUCACCAAAAGGAUGAAAGUAAGUUCAACGACAAAACUUAUUAUCACCAAAAGGAUGAUGCUAAGUCACGGCAACUUCAUUGGAUCACCAUCACCAAAAGGAUGAAGGUAACAUUAACAACAAAACUUGUUAUCACCAAAAGGAUGAUAAAAAGUCAACAAUCACCAUCACCAAAAGGAUGAAGGUACUACCAAACAACAGAACUUGUUACCACCAAAAGGAUGAUAAUAAGUCAACAAUAUUAAUGAUCACCAGUAUCCAAAGGAUGAAGGUAAGAUCAACAACGAAACUUGUUAUCACCAAAAGGAUGAUAAUAAGUCACAAACUUCAAAUGAUCACCAUCACCAAAAGGGUGAAGGUAAGAUCAAAUAACAGAACUUGUUACCACCAAAAGGAUGAUAACAAGUCAUCAACCACCAUCACCAAAAGGAUGAAGGUAAAAACAAACAACAAAGCUUGUUACCCUCAAAAGGAUGAUAAUAAGUCAACAACUCAAAUAAUCACCAUCACCAAAAGGAUGAAGGUAAGAUUAAUAACAAGACUUGUUACCACCAAAAGGAUGAUAAUGAGUCACAAUCACCAUCACCAAAAGGAUGAAGGUAUUAUUGAACAACAAAACUCGUUAUCACCAAAAUGAUGAUAAUAAGUUACAACAACUUAAAUGAUCACCAUCACCGAAAGGAUGAAGGUAAGAUCAGAACAAAACUUGUUACCACCAAAAGGAUGAUAGUAAGUCGAGACAAACUUUAAUGAUCGCCAUCACCAAAAGGAUGAAGGUAAGAUCAAAUGACAAAACUUAUUACCACCAAAAGGAUGAUAAUAAGUCAAAAACUUCACAUGAUCACCAUCACCAAAAGGAUGAAGGUAUGAUCAACAACAAAACUUGUUACCUCCAAAAGGAUGAUAAUAAGUCACAAACUUCAAAUGAUCACCAUCACCAAAAGGAUGAAGGUAUGAUCAACAACAAAACUUAUUACCACCAAAAGGAUGACAAUAAUCUUUAAUAAUGAGAGGUCUCCAUUCACCAAAAGGAUGAAGGUUGGACCCAAAACUUCAAGGAUCUUCGACACCAAAAGGAUGACGGUAAGAUCACAAAUGUCAAGGGUUUACCAUUACCAAAAGGAUAACGGUUAUCAUAAACAAGGAGAUGAUUAAUAUUAUUCCUCAAUGAACUUUCACCAAAAGAAUGAUAGUGAGAAAAAUAUUUGGAAUAAUAAAGCUACUGACAAAGUUCAAUAAACCCGACUUGUUGGGUAGUAUUAGAACGUUACUGGGUAAGACUUGCUUGGGGUAUCGACAAUAAAAGGUUGCAGAAAAAUAUUCUCUGGAAAACAUAAUUUCCAUCAACAAAAGGUUAAAAGAAACAUCUCAUCGAGGAACGCUCAAUGAGAAACAAGGUAGGGGUUUGAAGAAAAAUUGUUCGACUUAGAUGAGGGUAACACCUUAUUAACAAAAGGUUAGAGGAUGUAAAUCAACGGGGAACACCCAACAAUACAAGGUAAGAACUCACUCAGAGAAAAUAAUAAAUGACUCAACUGAGGGUUGGCCUGGACACCUACGACUAAACCUUGGAUCUUGAUUCGUGCUAUAUGCAUGAAUGUUAUGUAUGCGUUAUGUAUGAGAUGAUGUAUGCAGUGCAUGUUUGAAUGUAAAGGAUGAUUGGUUUGUUUAGAAUUGGUCCCCCCUUUUCAAAGGAGAUGUAUUUUCUGGAAACAAAUACUGGUUGUAUUUGUUUUUGUGUGGGUUCCAACAAGGUGGACUUUGGGUUUUUUGGUAAUUGCCAAUAUGAGUUUGAUUGUUGGUGGGUGAAAGGAUCUGACUUCCCGACACUUGGUAGUUUAUGAUCUGAUGAACACGCAAUGGAUGUGGAUACGCUCGAUGCCCUAAGUUUGAUUUCUUGCUGUUAUGUUGUGUCUUUGCCCCUGAGGGGAACUCGACUUCUUCUUCUGAGAUGUUGGGUCAGCUUGUAACCGAGCAUAGUGACAUGAUCAACGCAUGAUGAUUAUGCUUUUGACGUGCCGCAAGGUUUCUUGUCAAGAUGUGAUAUUGUACCGGUAUGAAGUUUUGACAUUUUGGUUGUGAUCUUAGACAGUUUCUAGUGUCUGACACAAUCUGCCUGACCGACUUGAAGAUAUGAAGUGAAUUUUCCCCUUGCAACUUGUCUUGCCCAGUCUGUAGGGUGUUCAAAGGAAUUAUCCUUGAAAGGAAACCCUUAGGAGUGAUUAUCCCAUGACAUGGUCUGAGUCUGUUUCCUCCAACGUUUGUCUCUUGUGGUGGGAUAAACACAGAAAUGGAUAACAAAUGGUUUUGAACUCGGCAUUCAUGUCGUGUGAUUUUCUCUCUUCUUCUUUUUUUCUCGUGCAUAACUCAUAGCUUUGGGGGUUUAUCCACUUUUGGCUCUUUUCAACUCAAUUCUUUGUGAGCAUUUUAAAGGUGUUAGAGUCUUAAGUCUCGGCAAGUGCAUUUUCUUUUUUUUUUUUUCUUUUUGGACAUACACAUGUCUCUACUUUUUGUAUUGCUUUUAGAUCUCUUAUUAUGCACUUGCCCUUUCUUUCAAGAUUACCACCCCAAACUUAGCUUUUUGCACAUCUUGUAACUCACAACAAUCAUGCCGAGUGAUGGGAUGAAAUGAACGAUUAAUGGUCAACAUGGGGUUUAUUACGAACAAAAUGGCUAAGGCUCAACGGGGUUCACGAAGGGUAAACAUAUAAACAUGGAUGGCUAGAAAGGCUCUGGAUUAAACAAACAACUUGCCUCAGUGCGUGUUGUCAUGCUGUGAAGUGUCAAAAGAACAUACGCAAAAUCAGAGUGAUAGAGUCAUACCUGGCUGAACUCUCAUGAUAUUUAGUGUUUGGCCUUUUUAUUCUCACCAUGUUGGUUAAACUUACAAGCUCUGAAGCCUCCUAGUGUCAUGUGGUUUCUUUUCUGAUUCGGUUCUACCAUACCGCUCUCUUGGUCCAGUGUCACCAAAUUGUGUCCGACUUUUACUUUCUCAUGGUUGCAUCAACUUCCGGGGUACCUUAAUAGAACAAGUAUGAGGGGUGUCUUUCAUCCACUACAACCGAUCCCGGAUUCGUCCACAAUUUCUCAUCACUCUGUACACACCGAUAAACAAUAAAAACAAACGUUGAAGGAAAACAUGAACAAAAUGAAAACGAAAUAAAACAUGAAAGGAAAACCCCUCCCCCCCCCCACACCUGAACUAAACAUUGACCUCAAUGUUUAAAUCCAGAUACAAAGGGGACUCACAGCGACUACUGUUGUUUUACUGCACUUGUGUGGUUUCCUUCCAUUUUGAGGUGUUUGUGACUUUAUUAAAUCCAGAUACAAAGGGGACUCACAGCGACUACUGUUGUUUUACUGCACUUGUGUGGUUUCCUUCCAUUUUGAGGUGUUUGUGACUUUGCCCUUCUAAUUCUCCUCCUCCCCUACAACAAAAUUCUAGCACACAAAAAGAAAAAGAAAAACGAAAUAAAUUAGAAAUCAAACGCGUGGGUUGCCUCCCACGAAGCGCUUCCUUUAACGUCGCAUGGCUCGACGGUUCAUUUCCCUUAUCAUGGGGGGUAUUUCAGGUUCAAAACCUUGUUGCACCUCUUGUCUCUAACUCGGACGUUGUCUCUUUUAUCAGUGUUGACUCCUUUGCACCACGUUCCUUUUUAACCUUCCUUUCGAUGUUAGGAAUCUUCCCGUUUAGGGUGGCUACUGGCAGUGGUGAGACUUUGAUAGUAUUCAAUGUCCUGAUUAAGCCUACUUGAUACUGAGAUUUUGUAUCUUCCUCCAUAUCCUGGUCUUCAAUAGCUUUCAAUGUUAUUUCCUUGUUGUGAACUUUCAAGGUUAACGUGCACUCAUCCAUGUCGAGCUCGCAUCGACUCGUCUUCAUGAAAGGUCUACCCAGAAUGAUGGGUGCCUCAUUGUCUUCAGGUAUGUCUAGGAUUACAAAAUCGACUGGGAAAGUCAAGUCCGCUAUUGUUACCAACACAUCUUCAACCAUACCAUACGCAUCUUUUCUUGAGUGAUCCGCAAACUUCAGAUUGGUCUUUAUAUCACUGAUAUUUCUAAUACCCAGCCUGUGAUAGAUCGAUAAUGGCAUCAGAUUCAUACUAGCUCCAUAACCUAUUAGUACCUUUUUGAAGGUUCUUUCUUUGAUUGUGCAUGGUACUGUGACGGUUCCUGGAUCCUUUUAUUUGUUAGGAAUGUUCUGCUCCAGGGAGUUUGCAUUAUAUUGUUCCUUACCGGAUACCUGUUCUUCAGUGGUUGGUUUCUUUUCAGCCAUUACCUCUUCCACGAAUUUCUUGUACAUGGGCAUCCUUUCAAGUGGUUCAAACAAAGCCAUAUGACCCUCAAUCCUUUUAAACAUUGUCAUGAAUUUCUCCAAGUCUGACUCACUAGGUUCCUUCUUUGUCAUUCUCUGAGGGUAGGCAACUUAAUCACCGGUUUAGUUCCUUUUGUAGUUUCUUCUUGAGUCGGCUCUCUCGGUGAUGUAAUUUUUUCUUUUUAGCAGCCUUUUUCUCUGUCGUCGUGACAGUAUUAAACAUCUCUGACCUCUCGGAUUUUGAACUGUUUCACUUGGUAGGGAACCUGGUGUUCGAGAACUUGCCAGUUGCUGGGCUAUCUGCCCCAGCUGAACUUCGAGAUUCUUUAGGGAUGCGGCGAUGUUUUUCUGAUUGUUUCUAGUCUCUUCUUCAAAUUGCCCAUUUUGAGCUGCCGUCUUUUCAAUUGCAAUCUCCCAAUCUGCCUUCUUUGGGACUUGAUUUUGCUGUUGCUGAUAUUGGUUUUGAUAUUGGCCUUGUACUUGCUGUUGCACAUUCCCUUUCUGAUCCCUCCAUGCAAAGUUUGGAUGAUUCUUCCACCCCGGGUUGUAUGUGUUGGAGUAGGGAUUGUUUUGCUUUAAAAACUUGAUAUCUUCUAUCUGUUGCGGUGUUGCAAAGCAAUGAACAGUAUUGUGUGGUCCAUUACAAAUGCCACACACAUCGUUAGGUGCCUGUUGUACUUGAGCCACUUUCUGCGCACCUAUGUUUAGUGCCUUCAACCUUUUCUCCACCUCUGCAACAACUGCUUCUUCAAUUUUUACCUGUUUGUUUAUUUUAAGCUUCAAAUCAAUUACUGCAGAUUUGCUUGACACCCUAUCAUACAACUCCAGAUGCUCAUUUGAGGAAAUUGCUUCAAUUAUCUUCUUCAUACCGGUGGCUGUUGCAAAGUUAGCUGAGCCACCAGCUGUUGAGUCAAGGAUUUGUCUCGUUUGAAUUCGAAGACCAUUAACAAACAUUUGCAUCUGCUCAGUUUCAUCCAUGUUGUGAGUAGGACAAGCCACUAGGAUUCUCUUGAAUCUUUUAUAGGCAUCUCCUAUCGUUUGAAUUCGAAGACCAUUAACAAACAUUUGCAUCUGCUCAGUUUCAUCCAUGUUGUGAGUAGGACAAGCCACUAGGAUUCUCUUGAAUCUUUUAUAGGCAUCUCCUAGUGACUCACCCUCCUUUUGCUUGAAGUUUAGGAUCUCCUAUCUUUUUCUCAGUGACAUAGAUGCGGGAAAAUAUUCCUGCAAGAAUGUUGUUUCCAUCUGCUCCCAUGUAGUGAUACUGCCAGCCGGUAAGGAAUAGAAUCACUCUUCGGCUUCAUCUGCUAAAGUGAAUGGGAACAUACGAAGCCUUAUUGCUUCUUCGUUAUGUCCAGGCAUUUUCAGCGUUGUGCUCAUAGUUAAAAAUCUUUGCGGAUGCUUGUUGGCAUCUUCAUUCACUCUUCCAGAAAAGGACCGCCUUUCGAGUUGAUUAAUUAUGCUGGGAUGCAAUUGAAAUUGUUUUACAUUAACCGGGUGGUUUACAAUUGUCAUCCGACCACCCGGAGUGUUGGUUCCACCAUUGUCACCGAGAAGUCUCUCGGGUGGUGGUGGUGGUGGUGGGUUUGCAGCCAUGAUUUCAGGAACUAUUUCCGCGUCUGAAUCUGAAUUCUCUGAGUGCACUGAAACAACUUCCUCCUCUGCUUUCUUUGCUAAUUCCAGUUUUUCUCUCUUAGCUUGUCUUAGUCUAGCACGAAGAGUUCUUUCUGGAUCUGCGUCAAAAGAAAAAUCCGCUGAGGCCUUACCUCGCAUAAACAAGUUAGACAAAUAUUAGAAUUGAAUAACAAGAUUGUCACAGAUAAAAUUUUGGUUGACGAGCAGAUAUAAAUUCACAAAACCAACCAAACCCUUGUCUUUUUGUUCAAAUAGAAUCAGAAGUAAAAUAAGUAUUUCCCCCGCAAUCCCUGAGAUCGAUACUUGGAAAUAAAAUCCUAUUACAUCAAUCGCGUAAAAAAGUACACUUGCUAAUUCCGAUCAAGUUUUUGGCGCCGUGUCGGGUAAUGCCAAAUAAAACCUAUUUUAAUUUUUAAUUCUUAUUAUGAAAUUUUACAAAAAAAGUUGCUCAGCAAACCAAAAAAUAUUUAUAUGCCUGUAGUGACACACAUCUUAUCAAUCUAAUAUUGAUACGCCAAAAUUAAACAAUUGUUUAUGCGAGACAGUAAGCCUCAAGCGGAUUUUCUUUUAUGACGACAAUCCACGAAAGAACUACUUCGUGCUAGCACUAGAGACAAGCAAACGGAGAAGAAAAACAAUGGAAUAGCAAAGAAAGGCAGAGGAGGAGGAAAGAUUGUUUCAGUGCAACUCAGGAGAAUUCCGAUUCAGACGCGGAAAAUAAAUACAAAAAUCGUUCCUCGACAAUAUCAAAUGGCAAUGCAAAACACCCACACCACACAACAACAACACUCCAAACCACACCACACACCUGAGAAAAAAACUUAUCGAACCAAGAUAACAAGAUUGAGUGGAAAACCAAACCACUCCGGGUAGUGGACGAUGACAAAAUGUGAAACACCCAGGUAUGAUUAAAAACACAUUAAAUUACAAUUGUACCCAGCAAUAAUUAAAAUGCAAACUCGAAAAGAACGACACGUUCAUUUAUAUAAAUCUGGAAAGAUAAAAAAAGAUACAGCGAGUAAACAACAAAACAUUGUUGAAUGAAAAAAUGGUAGGAACCACAAACAAAAGAAAAAAGCAAACAAAAAAUACAAACCAACGAGGACAAAAAAACAAAAAAAGAAGAAAAGAGAAUAAAGAGAAAUAAUUACUUAACUCAUGAGCCAACAACGGCUUGAGAAAAUGCCCUGAACCAUAACGAAGAAGCAAUUAAGGAGUUCGCUAGUCCAUUACUCUUAGCAGAUGAAAGUCACGAAGGAGGUGAUAUACAUCAUCAAACUUAAAGCCGAAAAAAAGUGCUCGGCCAAAGAAUCAACCACAUCGGAGCAAGAGUGGAACUAUAAAACACAACAUUCUUGCAGGAAUAAUUAGUCGACAUAUAUAGAGUCCACUAGGAGAAAAAAAAAGAAAUAAAAAAAAAAAGAACCAAAGCAAUUAAAAUAGCAAAAACAGCAGCCUGGGCAUUGUUACAGGAAGCAUCAAUCAAAUAAACCAACACAAAACACGAAAUUCAAAUUUCUGGAAAAAUUAAAAACAUGUAAGCUACAUUGAACAAGCCAGGGUUCUAUGGUUUUUUUAGAAAACAACAGCCAUAACAACCACAUCAUCAUUCAAAACAGCAACCAAAAACAACAGCAUUACAAAAUAUGCUAUUUCGACAGUGGAAUUCUCUUUCUGAAAGACAUGACUGAUUUGGCAACUAACAUAACCAGCUGCAUUCAUCAUCCUUCUACUAAUGUUAACCUACAUCAAUCAUAUAACAAGAUUUCAGAAUAGAGAAAGGCCCUAGUUCACAGAGGUGAACAUUCCCUCCCUCUCUUGGCAACCUAAGACAAGAGUCCUCUCCGUUUCACUACCUCCUGCCGAUUCCCCGGUUGUUCCCCCCCCCCCCCUCCCCCCGUUGUUGAGAGCAGAUUACCUCCUUGUGAAGUUUUAGCACUCUCCGCACAUUCUUCCUUUUUUCUCCAUGACCCCAUAGAGCGGGGACCAUCUCCUCCGCAAGCGGCACCCCCCCAUAAGCCAAAACCAAACACAAACAACCAAAUUCGGAGCCCAAGUAUGCUGGGCUAUUGUUAUUUGUUCAAACAACAGCAAAGCAAUCAUGUUCAUCAUGCAAUCAAACAGUCGAUCACAAUUGAAACUCAAACUAGCAGUGGGCGUAGCAAACAUGGGCAUUUGGUACAAGUUUGUUCAUGCCAACAUCACUUCACUCACACAAUCUGUCCCAAAAGUCUAAUUAAUUGUUUAACAACAGACAAGCAUAAGGCAAAGGAAAUUCCUGAUGAUGGCGCAGAGCUAAUAUUAUGAACCACAACCCAAACAGGUUAAUUAGCGAAUAUCAGAGAAUUCCUACAUCUCGCAUGGCUUCUCUCAAUUAUACAUCAUAACAAGUGUCGUGGAGCAAUAGGAAACCACAAUCAACCCAAAAUGGCCGUUAGCAUUGUGGCUUCGUCGCUAUUAAUGGAACAUCACAGGCCUUAGCAACAUCAACAACAACCAAAUUCUACAAACAUAUAGACACGUGUGGUGCAUCAUANUGGUUGGUUUUGUGAAUUUAUAAUAAUAAACACAAAAAGAUAGUAGAAAUAAUUGAUUAAGAUAAAAUAUGCUAGGGUGAGUGGUUGAUUUAACCAGUUAUGAAUUCAGUCAAGAUUUCCUUAAUACACAUGAAACAUUCAAUUACCUAACCGCAUAAUGUUCUUCCUUAAGUCCUUAAGGAAGAAACUAUUAAACUACCAAUUCUUACUCAAAUGUCCAUUCAAUUAAUCAUUGGUUUUAAUCAUAAACAAUAUCAAGGUUUAUGGUGAUUCACAAAUGUUCCUAGUCCUAGGUGAUGCAAUUAUAAACCCAAUUGUGUGAAAACACUAACAAUCACAAUCCUGUUAUUGAUAGUCAUAGAUCUAUUUGUAUUUGUCUGAUACAAAAGCAUAAGCACAUCAGACAAUUGAAUUGAAAUUCGUAACAUAGUAAUAAGGAAAUCCAUAGAUAGAAUUCAUAACAUCAGACCAAAUCAGGACCACCCCCCUAGCAUUGGGGGUUUAGCCUCUCAUAGUAUUCAAAGAAAUCAUAGUAUAGAAAUUAAACAUUACAAAGAAUGAGGAGAUUUUGAUCUUCAAUGGGUGAUGCCCUUGAAUCUCGCCGUCUUUGAAUCCUCCGUAGUAGCUAUCUUCUCCGGUGCAAUGUUUCUUUUCGUACGUCAAAAAGUGUCUUCUCUAUCUCUCCAAAGUCUUUUAAUAGCCUCAGAUGGUUUUUCCCCAGUAAGAAGUCCAAAAUACCCUUAAUGAACAGGGCAGAUCCACACAACAAAAAGUAAAAUUUCUCAGCCGCGCCCAUCAACACUGGCAGUGUGGAUACACAUGGGUGCCCGUGUUGAUUCACACGGGCCGUGUGAAUUUACAUGGGUACCCGUGUUGUUUUCAAGAGUUAUGUUUUUUAAAGCAAGCUACAGAGGCAUCAACACGGGCCGUGUUGAUGCACACGGGUGCCCGUGUUAACCCUCUAUUUUACCUCCUGGAGUGCUUGUUUCCGGACAAACAACACGGGCCGUGUUGAUGUACACGAGGGCUCGUGUUGACCUACUGUAUCUUCAUAUUUUGGCCUUCCGGAGCAUCCAAUACUCGGCUAUUAGUCCUUUGGAACCUAUGCACAACCUGCAACAUUAACACUACCAAAUCGAAGCAUAAAAAGAGACUUUUUGACAUAAACAAGUAACAAAAUGCAAUGCACUAAUAAACUAACAAAACUUGUUAAAUGACUUUAAAAUAACUAAAAACAACCACAAGUCUGACCAAACUGAUGAAAAUAUGUCGGAUAAAAGGUGGGAAUUCAAUGGAAAUGGUGACCGAUCAUCGGUUAUUCUUCUGUGCUUCAGCCAAGCUGACUCACCGAUACAACACUCGCGCCAAUCAACCCAAGAUCUUGGAACAUUUGGAACAAGAGAACAAGGAGCUGAAGGAUGAGAUUGCAUGGUUGACUUCCAUGAUGGAGGUUGUUCUUGCUCCGCAUAAUCAGUCUUCACCAACUCCCGCAACUCCUCCAUAGAGGAUUGUCGUUUCUUAGGUUUCUACCUCGACUAUUCCUGUUGAUGUUAGCCAAUCCGGGUUUUCUAUGCCUGCUGGAUUCCCAUAGGAAAUGCCGCCAACAUUUGUGCCUGAAGGGUUUAUGCCUACCUUUGUUUCUAUGCCAGAAUCUAGCCCGAUCAUGUCUAUGCCUCCUCUAGUUGUUCAUACUUUGCCUCGUGUUGAGGGCACCAUCAACCAUUCUGAGACAUCUGAGGGACCAGAUGUUUAUGAGAAGAUGGAUGAAAUAAAGGAUCGGUUCCUUGAGUUGCAAAAAGAGAUGAAAACAUUGAGAGGAAAGGACCUGUUUGGUAAGAGUGUUGCUGAACUCUACUUGGUACCAAAUGUGAAAAUCCUGAUGAAGUUCAAGGUCCAUGACUUUGAAAAGUAUAAGGGAAAUGCUUCUCUAUUUAGUCACCUUGUUAUGUACGCCAGGAAGAUGUCAACUCAAACUAAUAAUGAUUAGUUGUUGAUUCACUAAUUUCAAGACAGUUUAAUCGGUGCUACUCUGAGAUGGUAUAUGGAUCUAGACAGUGCAAGUGUUCAUACUUUCAACGAUUUGGGUAAAGCUUUUGCUAAGCAGUACAAGUAUAAUGUGGAUAUGGUGCCUGAUAGACACCAAAUAAGGUAUAUGUCUCAGAAGGAUAAGGAGACGUUUAAAGAGUAUGCUCAGAGGUGGAGGGAACUUGCUGCUCAGAUUAAUUCUCCAUUAGAAGAGAAAGAGAUGACGAAGAUUUUCCUUAAGACCUUGAGUUCAUUUUAUUACGAACGUAUGAUUGCCAGUGCCCCUAGUGACUUUACCGAAAUAGUAAACAUGGGGAUGAGGUUAGAAGAGGGAGUCCGUGAUGGACGUCUGUCUAAGAAAGAAGCGUUGUCCAAUAAGAAGUAUGGAAGUGGUUUCUCCAAAAGAAAAGAGGCGGAAACUAAUUCACUAUCUGUAGGGAGGCUGAGGAGGCCUCAUGUUAGAAGGAGUUCCCAACCACGUCAGCAUCAACAUCAAGUCUUUUCAGUGAUUCCCGUCUUUUCCAAUAGUUCCAUUAAUCAACUUGUUCCAAUUCAACAACAACAACAACGUCAACAACAACCGCAGCAAAGAACCACCACCACCACCAACAAUAAUCAACAAUAAAACUUUGAGAGGAAGAAGGUCUCUUUUGACCCUAUUCCUAUGUCAUACGCCGAAUUAUAUCCAUCCUUGGUUCUCAAGAACCUACUUCAACCCAGAAAUCCACCGCAAAAUCCCGAGCCACUUCCAUGGUGGUUCAAACCUGAACUCCGUAGUGCCUUUUACCAAGGAGCCCCUGGCCAUGACAUUGAUAACUGCUAUCCAUUGAAGUAUGAAGUACAAAAGCUUGUGAAGAGUGGGAUGGUGUCGUUUAAGGACCGUGCGCCUAAUGUGAAAGCCAAUCCUUUACCUGCUCAUGGUAAUGCUUCAGUCAACAUGGUUGAUGGUUGUCCUGGGGAGUUCAAUAUUUAAGACAUCCACUAUAUCAGAAGGUCCUUAGUGGCAAUGCAUAAGGAUAUUCGUAUGGUUAGUGAAUGUGAGCAUGACCAUGAUGGUUGUGCAAUCUGUAGUGUGAACCCUCGAGGAUGUGUUAUUGUCAAGAGGGAUAUUUAAAGGUUGGUGGAUGAAGGUCUUAUCCAAAGUUUUCAAUCCCGUCACUUGGGAAAUGAUGUUAAUGUGAUUGUUCCUAUGUUUAAGACCCCUGAGUGGGUAGUAAUCCAGUUCAAUAGUAGUAGCAGUAACAACGUUAAUAGAUCGGUAUCAUCGUUAGUAAUACGGUUAACAGGCCCCAUCCCGUAUGCAUCCGAUAAAGCUGUGCCUUAUCAGUAUAAUGCCACAAUGGUGGAGAAUGUCCAAGAGGUUCUGUUUCCCGUAGCAGAUUUUGUGGUGAAUAUAGCUGAUAUUGCAAAGGUGACCCGUAGUGGUCGUGUCUUCAGCCUGUAAGAAGGUGGAUGUGCCUGUGGUGAAUCCAGUUAGUGCUCCAGUUUGUCAGUCUGGUGAAUCCAUCAAGCUGAAGCCUAAUGAUAAUGAUGAAGUUUUGAGGUUGAUAAAAAGAAGUGAAUUCAAUGUGGUGGGGCAGCUUAUCUAAACCCCAUCAAAGAUUUCAGUGUUGUCUUUGUUCAUGAACUCCGAAGCACAUAGAGAAGUGUUGCAGAAAGUCUUAGAGCAAUCCUAUGUUGAGCAUGAUAUCACUGUGUGUAGCGGUAAAUUCAUGAUCAUCCAGCUAUGGAUAAGCUGGAGAUCAAUAAAACCAGAGUCGCCACCGCGCUUUUAUUAUUUUCAAGGGAAAAGGGAAAAAGUACGAACAAAACCCAAAAGUAAGAAGUUUUCAAAUCAAAACUAAUAAAAUGUCAGAGAUUACAGGUAAGGGGGUUGGUUACACAGAGGGAAGGUGUUAGAACCCAAAGUGUUCUAGGUACUCCAAGGGAGCCCUUUCUUGUGUGCGUAUGUAUUUUGUACAAAGUGAUGUUUACAAACAAAUAGAAUGGAGGGAUGAGAAAAGAAUUCAUUAAUUAUAUUUUUAUGUUUGAAAAGACCUUCGGACUUAUGCCUACAUACUGUAAGACCCUAAUUUUGACCCUAAGAUCCCUCAUGGCAUCAUAACAUUGCAUUUGCAUCAUAGCCUCAAGGAAAAUUUGCAUCUUGGUUCCCUUUGCCUUUGGGUGGGAUCUCUUGAGAUUUGGUUUGAGAUCACCAAGCAUGCUUGAAUUGUAUAUUAUUGCUUUUCUCAUUUUAUUUACUAACCAAAAGCACAAAAAUAUGUCACUAACAUCUUUUGUUUGUAGCUUGAGCAGUCAGUAUAUUAUUGCUUUUCUCAUUUUAUUUACUAACCAAAAGCACAAAAAUAUGUCACUAACAUCUUUUGUUUGUAGCUUGAGCAGUCACAAGGUCUAAAGCUUCUAGGAGAUCCUAUGUGCAUUGAUAUGGUUAAGAGAAGGUGAAAGCAAGCAUGGAAAUGGUUCCUAAAGCUAUCAUCCAUCAAAUAUGCCUCCCAAGUAUCUCAAUUUAUCAUUUUGAUCAAAGCAAACAAGGGGCUUGAGGCUUGUUUUCCAAGGGAACCCUACUUCAUCUGUUCAUCAACUAUGCCUUGCUCAUGAAGCAACCUCAGCCCAUGAUCAAAUUCAAUCAAGGGAAGUUCUUUAAUUCAUCAUUUCAUGCAUAUUUGAACUUAUUUGAGUGUCCUCAAUCAUCAACUCAUCAAGAUAUGAGUUUUGGACUUGAGAAGUUGAUCAGUCAAUUCAUCUAACCAUUUUGAAAUGCACUGAGACCUAACUUUUUAUGUGUUUGUCAAAUGGAGAUUACCCCAAGAGAAAAAAUGUUCUUAAGUAAUAUAUGAACAACUUUCAUGUUCAUCAAAAUUGAUUUGAAGCUUGGAAGGUCAUCAUCCAUUCCAAGACAUUAUAGGUCAUUUUGACUGAAACCCUAAUUUUAGGUCAACUUCCUAAGGACAUAACUCCUACAUUUUUCAUGAUUUUGAGGUGAGAUCUAAUGAAUUGGAGAGAGUAAGAUAUCUAAUUCAAAUGUUAUGUUUAGCAAAAUUGAAAAACCUCAAAAGAAAUACAUGUUAUAAUGCAAAACAUUAUAGGUCACUUUGGACCAAAUGCAUUGAAAUGUGAAAAAGUCCAACUUCAAGUGCCCAUAACUUCUUCAUCAAAAAUCCAAAUGAUGAAAAAUUUAAGUCCAAAUUGAUUGCCUUGAGACGAUCUACAACUUGCAUGUUGAAUAUUUUGUCAUUUGUAGUUUUCAUCAUUGAGACAGAAGGGCUUGAACAUUGGCCAAUUUUGAAAAUUUCACAUAUGCAUGUUUUGCACCCUACACUUCAAGUUCAAUUUUCAUUAAUUUCCAAGGCCCAAAUGGAGUUUUGAUCACAUUGGCCAAUUUUGAAAAUUUCACAUAUGCAUGUUUUGCACCCUACACUUCAAGUUCAAUUUUCAUUAAUUUCCAAGGCCCAAAUGGAGUUUUGAUCAACAUAACAUUUGUUCCUUAUGCAAUAAGAUUUCCAACCAUUACCCAUAAGGCUAUGUUUCAAUUUUGGAAGUAUCAUUUUCGAAGAGGGGAACUUUUAGUGCAUUUUUGGAAACUUGAUUCAAUUGCCAUGCAUGAUCCAAAUACAUAUCUUCUGCACGUCCAAAACAUAUUUGGUGAUGUUUAGCUUACCAUUCCAAUCAGAAUUGGGCCCUCCAUGCGCCUGUACUGGCCCAUGCAUGGAGGGCCUUUUCAUCCAUGCACACACUUUGCUCAUGCUUGCAGCUCCCUUCAUCUAUAAAUACAAGGCCUUGGCUUCAUAAUUGGACAACCUGAAGUCACCUGUUAUGCUGCACGAAUCCCUCCAUAGCCAUACUUAAAGGAACUUUCUCUUUUUCUUCAAAUUUUCAGAUCUAAAUUUCAGCUACACUGGUUGAUUUCUAGAUCUAUAGUUCCUAAACCUUGCUCAUCUUCAUCACUAGACUACACUGCAAGCAUUAGCAAAGGCGAAUUGUGCUCUCAAGAUCCACAUUUCAAAGGUGGAUAUCAGAACUUAUUUUCUCCGAAACUCUUUAUUCAUAGCUUAUUUCUUACAUUUGCUGGGUUGUGUGAAGUCCUCUCAAUAGAGGCAAUUGUUUUGUGCUUUGAAUUUUGCAAAUCCAUCAAGUUUCAGUUGAACACCAUAUUUUUCAACCUCUGAUUUCUCUCUCCAUGAAAGUCUAGAGUGAAAAUAGAUGGUACAGGGGUGAUGUACAUCACCCCAGCUUUACAUUGUUGUAUAGAUCGCCUCAUUUGGUGAAGGUUUAUUUUCUGCAACUCUCGUCGGAAUCUCUGGUCUCGCCGGAGAAGACGGUGGUGUACACCACCGUCCGUUUGCCAGUUUUGAUCCAGGUCGUUGAUGAUGAUUCCCAGAUUGAAUCAGGGCUCUUGGAUCUUAUGACUUUUUUUAAGUGUUUAUGUUGCUUAGUUGACUUAGGUCCAUGAUACGCGCGCAUGCCACAACCGUCUGAUCUGCCAGGUCAAUUAAUGAAUUGAAUCCAACGCGUGUGGUUUUUCCUAAUUUUCUAUUUCUGAUUUUAAUUUCCAUUUUAUUUCUCUUAUUCCAUUUCAUUUCAAAAAAUCAUAUCUCAUUCAUUAUUGAUCCAAAAAAUGUGAGACCAAUUGCAUUAUUUCUCUUUUAAUUUCUAGUUUCUAAAAAUGAUUUUUAAUAUUUUUUAUUUUAUCAUUUGAUAUUUUUCAUGAAUUUUCUCUUUUCUGGUUAUUUUUAAAUUUGAAGUUUGACCUUUCUUUAUUAUUUUAAUUCAAGUUUUAUUUAAAUAUUAAAAAAUGCCAAAAAUAUUUUAUUUGUUUCUUGACUUCUAAUUCUCAUUUUGCUUCUGUUUUCUAUUAUUUGACCUUGAUCUUCUCUAUCAUUGGUCAAUGUUUGUUGAUUAGUACAUACCAUUUCCAUCAAUGCACUUUAAUUCUUCAUUUUCUUCUUCUUCUUCUUCUUCUUUUUCUUUUUUGGAUCAAUGAGUUAAAGAUUGGUGGUUAGCAUUGAUUAGGGAGGUUUAAUCUUCCUUGAUUCAAAUCUAAUUCAUCUUUAUCAUGGAUCAAGUGAAUGGCUUUGCAUUAAGGAUAAAUUGCUUCCUAAAUCAUGCAAAGAACCUAAAUCAAUACAAGAUCAUUUCUCAUCUUCUUUUUGGCAUGGAAAGUUGUUGGAGUUUGAUUCACUAAUCAAGACCUCUAACUUGUGUUGUUGCCUACAUUAUUAUUGACCGGCCUCAGAUAGUUAUAGUUGUGACUUCUACAUAAGUCCAAUUACGAUUGCUUAACAUAGCGCUAAAUUUGCCUUAUGGCACACUAACUACUAACAUUAACCAUUAACCAUUAACAUUUAAUUCUUGCUCUUUACAUUUAUGAUAUUUAUUAUUCUUGUACAUAUUAUUCAUUUUCUUUUUCCUUUGCUCAUUUGAGCACAUGUUUAUGUUAAUGCAAUUUGCCUUUUGCUCACUUGAGCAUAUAAUUGUGUAUAUAUUAUUGUGCUUGUGUUUUGUUUAAUUGUUAUGGACCAAAUGCAAAGAAAUAGACAAAUGGACUUAGUUUCUAGGAUAUUCCCUAUGCAAAUUGGAGUAAAAGGAUCUUAAUAUUGAAGAUGGAUUGGAAGGACCAAACCUCUAAACUCACUCUUGUCCAUUCUUGAUUUGCUUCAUAAGACUCUUUGAUGUGUGUGUGCUUUUGUGCUAGGGGAUCCUAUGAGAUAUCAAAUUGAAGAAUCAUUGCCAUGUUCAUCCAAAUUGAAAGAUACAAGAGGCAUUGGGGAUCUUCUAAGAGCUUGUUUGAUUAUGUUGAUUGCUUGAGCUUACUAUUAUUUUGCUUGCAUAUUCCAAAGGAUGGGAGCUACUUGGAUCAUCAAUAUGAUCACAAGAGAGGAACUCCAUUUGUGGUCUUAUUUCUUAUCCCUUAUCUCUUAUAUGACUAGGACUUUAGCCAUUCUUUUCCCUUCCUCCACUCUAACCCAAGCUAAAACUUUUGUGCAAACAUUUAACACCUCUUUCUACACAUUAGAAACCUAAGCCUUAUGCUUUUCAUUUUCAAACUUCCUUUUAAUAACACUUAUUUUGAAUUGAAUCUUUAAGUCAACUUUGACCAUAUUUUGUAAAUACUUUUCAUUGGUAAAUAUAACCCAUUCAAAUACUUUUGUGGUUUCAAUGGCCAUUUCUAAUCAAAAUUUUUUCAUAACCUUUAGCUAUUAGGUUUGAGUUAUCCUUGAGGUUGAUGUAAUACUCACCUAUAUCCUUAGUGAUGGACAAUGAGUCUUCCAUGCUUAUUAUAGGGUUAACCCCUCACUAGCAUGUUAAAGCUAUCCUCACAUGGUGGAUUUGUGGUUUAGGUUGAGUUUUCUCCCUUGGAUAACAAAAGACCUUAAGGCUUUUGGACCAAUCAAUUCACCAACUCAUUUUUAAUAUUUUUACCCCGAACUACGAGGUUUUGAUCCUAAUCUUUUUUAAGAUGGUACGUAGGCAAUGGGUUUAUCCAUCCAAACACAAAAGGUAAAUAACUUGUAUAUUCUCUUCUCAUCUCUUCAAUCGUGUUUGCACAAACAAAUUUUCACAAAAUACCAACCUUACAACAAGUAUGAAAAUAGCUCCCUAGGAGUACCUAGGAUGUUUUGGGUGCUUAAAACCUUCCCAUUGCAUAACCAACCCCCUUACCCCGAUCUCUGACAUUUUUACUAGUUUUUGAUUCGAUAAAACUUUUAGGUUUUUGUUCAUAA
This 19605-nucleotide long non-coding RNA is filed under the name Lathyrus oleraceus (garden pea). Its description in RNAcentral is "Pisum sativum (pea) long non-coding RNA (PSAT_LNC011672)". The record is from RNAcentral. Lineage: Eukaryota; Viridiplantae; Streptophyta; Magnoliopsida; Fabales; Fabaceae.